UAACACAUGCAAGUCGAGCGGUAGCACAGAGAGCUUGCUCUCGGGUGACGAGCGGCGGACGGGUGAGUAAUGUCUGGGAAACUGCCUGAUGGAGGGGGAUAACUACUGGAAACGGUAGCUAAUACCGCAUAACGUCGCAAGACCAAAGUGGGGGACCUUCGGGCCUCAUGCCAUCAGAUGUGCCCAGAUGGGAUUAGCUAGUAGGUGGGGUAACGGCUCACCUAGGCGACGAUCCCUAGCUGGUCUGAGAGGAUGACCAGCCACACUGGAACUGAGACACGGUCCAGACUCCUACGGGAGGCAGCAGUGGGGAAUAUUGCACAAUGGGCGCAAGCCUGAUGCAGCCAUGCCGCGUGUGUGAAGAAGGCCUUCGGGUUGUAAANGCCACUUUUCCAGCGCGGGGGAGGGAAGGCGGGGUUAAGGGUUUAAUUAACCUUCGUUCGGAUUGGACGUUUACCCCGCAAGAAAGAAAGCAACCCGGCCUAAACUUCCGGUGCCAAGCAGGCCGGCGGGUAAUUACCGGAGGGGUGCCAAGCGGUUUAAUCGGGAAUUUACUGGGGCGUAAAAGCGCCACGCAAGGCGGUUCUGUCAAAGUCGGGAUGUGAAAUCCCCCGGGGCUCAACCUGGGGAACUGCAUUCGAAACUGGCAGGCUAGAGUCUUGUAGAGGGGGGGUAGAAUUCCAGGUGUAGCGGUGAAAUGCGUAGAGAUCUGGAGGAAUACCGGUGGCGAAGGCGGCCCCCUGGACAAAGACUGACGCUCAGGUGCGAAAGCGUGGGGAGCAAACAGGAUUAGAUACCCUGGUAGUCCACGCCGUAAACGAUGUCGAUUUGGAGGUUGUGCCCUUGAGGCGUGGCUUCCGGAGCUAACGCGUUAAAUCGACCGCCUGGGGAGUACGGCCGCAAGGUUAAAACUCAAAUGAAUUGACGGGGGCCCGCACAAGCGGUGGAGCAUGUGGUUUAAUUCGAUGCAACGCGAAGAACCUUACCUGGUCUUGACAUCCACAGAACUUUCCAGAAAUGGAUUGGUGCCUUCGGGAACUGUGAAACAGGUGCUGCAUGCCUGUCGUCAGCUCGUGUUGUGAAAUGUUGGGUUAAGUCCCGCAACGAGCGCAACCCUUAUCCUUUGUUGCCAGCGGUUAGGCCGGGAACUCAAAGGAGACUGCCAGUGAUAAACUGGAGGAAGGUGGGGAUGACGUCAAGUCAUCAUGGCCCUUACGACCAGGGCUACACACGUGCUACAAUGGCAUAUACAAAGAGAAGCGACCUCGCGAGAGCAAGCGGACCUCAUAAAGUAUGUCGUAGUCCGGAUUGGAGUCUGCAACUCGACUCCAUGAAGUCGGAAUCGCUAGUAAUCGUAGAUCAGAAUGCUACGGUGAAUACGUUCCCGGGCCUUGUACACACCGCCCGUCACACCAUGGGAGUGGGUUGCAAAAGAAGUAGGUAGCUUAACCUUCGGGAGG
This 1460-nucleotide ribosomal RNA is filed under the name Klebsiella pneumoniae. RNAcentral's name for it is "bacterial SSU rRNA". It matches the Rfam family "Bacterial small subunit ribosomal RNA". Lineage: Bacteria; Pseudomonadati; Pseudomonadota; Gammaproteobacteria; Enterobacterales; Enterobacteriaceae. The record is from RNAcentral.